GAAACGCCAAUAUCUGAGGGAACAAAAAAUCAUGGAAAUUGCGAGUCAGUCAAUGAAAGGGACCCGUCGGCUUCCCUGAAUAAGAAAGAGGAAGGACACCGUUAUACCUAAACCAGAAACCUUCACACUCCAGCAACACAACCACGGCGUCGUUUCUCAGUUCUCUUAACCGGCACGUGGCAUUUAGGUCAAGCACUACUGUAUACCACACCAACUCGUCACAUUAACUCAAGACGCAGAAGAACAUUUUUCUACAACCACCGGUUCGAAAGCUCUAAAUAUCCGAUCAAAUUCUUUCCCUCUCAGUUCCGAAUUGCGUAUUCCCAAUUCUUGCUCGGGAUUGGGUAAUUCGGGAUGGGGAAAGGUGGAGGCUGUGUUCCAAGCAAGAACAAACGCCCUGCCGUCGCUGAAGAUCACCAAGGCUCAUCUCUUGACGCGCCGAUCCCUGACGAGGAUAACGCCGAGAAUAAUGCGACUGCCGCAAUGGAUUCCACCUCACAGUUGAAGAUAUUCAUUGUGUUUUACUCGAUGUACGGUCACGUGGAGGGUUUAGCCAGGAGGAUGAAGAAGGGAGUCGACGGAGUGGAAGGCGUGCAGGCUGUUUUGUAUCGGGUGCCAGAGACGUUACUGGGUGAUGUGUUGGAGCACAUGAAGGCGCCAGCGAAGGACCCUGAGAUUCCGGAGAUAACGGCCGCGGAAUUGGCAGAUGCUGAUGGUGUUUUAUUUGGGUUUCCAACGAGGUACGGCUGCAUGGCUGCGCAGAUGAAGUCGUUUUUCGACUCUACUGGGCAGCUGUGGAAAGAGCAGAAGCUCGCCGGAAAGCCUGCUGGAUUCUUCGUCAGUACUGGGACACAAGGUGGCGGCCAAGAAACUACAGCAUGGACAGCAAUCACCCAGUUAGCUCACCAUGGAAUGCUAUUUGUUCCUGUUGGGUACACCUUUGGAGCUGGUAUGUUCAAGAUGGAUUCCAUACGAGGAGGCUCUCCAUAUGGUGCUGGUGUUUAUGCAGGUGAUGGCUCGAGAGAGCCAAGUGAAUCAGAGCUGGCACUUGCAGAACAUCAUGGCAAAUAUAUGGCCACAGUCGUAAAGAAGCUUGCUCAGGCUUGAUGAUGUUGUUCCCAAUCUUUGAAACACUUGUGGUCUCUUUUAUCUGGUCAUCUAUUUGAAUGCAUUUGUUUGUAAAUGGUCUUAUAUAUCAAAUAUGAGGAUUAUAAUCUUCUAUUUUGGCUUUUUGUAUUUGGAUUUGAAUGUGUAAAAGAAAAAAAUAAAUAAAAUAAA
This 1278-nucleotide unclassified non-coding RNA is filed under the name Hevea brasiliensis (rubber tree). Lineage: Eukaryota; Viridiplantae; Streptophyta; Magnoliopsida; Malpighiales; Euphorbiaceae. The record is from RNAcentral.